RNAcentral lists this transfer RNA (75 nucleotides) under Candidatus Aenigmatarchaeota archaeon. Its description in RNAcentral is "tRNA-Glu". It matches the Rfam family "tRNA". Rfam says of the family: Transfer RNA (tRNA) molecules are approximately 80 nucleotides in length. Their secondary structure includes four short double-helical elements and three loops (D, anti-codon, and T loops). Further hydrogen bonds mediate the characteristic L-shaped molecular structure. tRNAs have two regions of fundamental functional importance: the anti-codon, which is responsible for specific mRNA codon recognition, and the 3' end, to which the tRNAs corresponding amino acid is attached (by aminoacyl-tRNA synthetases). tRNAs cope with the degeneracy of the genetic code in two manners: having more than one tRNA (with a specific anti-codon) for a particular amino acid; and 'wobble' base-pairing, i.e. permitting non-standard base-pairing at the 3rd anti-codon position. Lineage: Archaea; Nanobdellati; Candidatus Aenigmatarchaeota. The record is from RNAcentral.
GCCCCUGUAGUAUAAUCCGGUUAAGUAUGCGGGCUUCUCGAGCCUGAGAUCUGGGUUCAAAUCCCAGCGGGGGCG